Molecule: transfer RNA, 85 nt
Filed under: Bergeriella denitrificans
Lineage: Bacteria; Pseudomonadati; Pseudomonadota; Betaproteobacteria; Neisseriales; Neisseriaceae
Description: tRNA-Leu
Rfam family: tRNA
About the family: Transfer RNA (tRNA) molecules are approximately 80 nucleotides in length.
Source: RNAcentral
GCCCGGGUGGUGAAAUUGGUAGACACAGGGGACUCAAAAUCCCCCACCGCAAGGUGUGUCGGUUCGAGUCCGACCCUGGGCACCA